UAAUAUUACACAAAUUUAUUAGAGCAAUUCAUUAAUAUUAAAAAGACAAUUAAAAGUUCUAUCAAACAAAAUGAUCAAGGAACAAUUUAUUAAAAAUUCAUAAUAAAUAGGAAUUCUAUACAUAUGAAAUGCCAAAAAAAAAAAAAAGCCAACACAAUUCAAAUGUCUUCGAGCUCGUCCUUGGCUAGUUUCAUUUCCUUUUGAAGAAUAUGACCUUAGAAUGCAGCCACAAACUUUCAUAAGAAGAUAAUAUUGGCUGCCCACCAAGUGUGGCUCCUUUUGUACAGUUUCAUAGGAAGGCUCAUUAUUAUCUUCAGCGUAUUUGUUACUACCUACAAAAGAAAUUCAGGGUGAUUUGUUAGAAAUUUAGAUACCAUGAAAUGAAAUGAUGUAAUCAUGCCAAUGCGUUUUUAAAUAUUACGAUAAUAAUGAUGACUAAAAUUAUCUUCUUUCAUGUGUAAGUGCUAAAUAUUAAAACUAAUCAACACAUAUUAACAACAGAUGGAAAAUAUAAGGAAGUAAAACUUUCUCUACUGAUUAUUUAUUAAUCGUAUUCUCUAUAAAAGAACAAACUUCCUAAAUACCAUAUCAUACUGCACAUUGAUGGAAGUAUAGUUUGAAAAUAUUAAGAUUUGAAAUAAUUCCUGAGUUAAUGGUAUAAACAUGAGUCAUGUUUCAUAUUUCCAGAUUGUCCUAAUUUUCACUAUGUUCUCUCUCUGUUUCUCAUAAAAGGUGCUCUUCCAACUAUAAUUUACUAAUUUUAAAAUGAAACUACUAGAUGGUGAACAACAAAGUGAACUCCCACAUGCUAAAAGGUGAACAGACAUUCAGGCAACGUGCAGAUUCUUUGUUCAUUUUCAGAAACAAGUGUUAAAAAUUGACUACAUAAAUGAGCUACCAAGGAGUCGUGAGUCGUGACUAAGCCUAGUUGCAAAGUGUAAGUAUCACUAAGUGGUCUUCUUACUAAAAAGACCACUAAGUCACUAAGUCGUGACUUUGGUGUCUCACUGAUCACACAAAGUCAGAAGCUGUGGAAGGGAAAAUGCAUGGCCAACAAUCUGGAACAAGAAGUGAUAACUGACUAGGCAUACACAUCACAUAACCAGUCAAUAGAUGCAGUGUAAUUCCUCUGGUACUACUUAUGAGGCCUACAACUGUGACUCUAUAAAUAGCAUUAUGUGAUCCAUAAUGUUCCCGCAAUUAGCACUUCUGAUCAAGUGAUACAAUUGCUCAUUUCUAAUUGGUUUCUAAACGAGAAGAUCCUCAGGUAUUAAAAGGUUUAACAACGACAAACUUAAUCCGGGAAACUUGCAAGUGUCUUAAAUCACUUCUUACACAUAUGCCUAUGGCUUCAUUGCAUCAUUCUAGUCUUCUAAGAAACUUAAUUUAACCACAGAGAAUCAAAAGGUGCGGGUAUCCUGAUAUACGGAAGCUGCUAGAGAUGGAGGCUAAGAUGAGCAUGGAAAGAUCUCUAAUAGCCCAACUGUAUGCCAAAUGCAAAGAGGCAAAAGCUGUAACAUUACUUGAUUCAUGAUCGCACUUUACCUUUGAAGAAACAAUUCUUCGAUCAUAGGAAAAGCAUGUCUUGUGUAAUGACAUAAGAUAAGUGCCAACACUCUUGAUGUUAUCAAUUAUGAGAUACGUGCUUCAAUGUUAAAAAGGAGAGGCAGCACCAAACAACCAAAUUGUUUUAAUUUGUGAUGUGGCAUUGAAGCUGGCAUAUGGAAGCAUCCCACCUAAGGAAGAGGAAUCACGCAUAUCCUUCAACAGAUCAGGUGGAAUCUGAUACAUUGACUGAAAGAAGUCGUGGCUGAAAGAAAAACUUACAUAUGAUUCGGACAUUGAAAAGUAUGAAUAUUUAACAGCCUUAAAAUACAAGGAGCCAAAACAAUAUUUACAACGAAGAAGCUAUGCACACAGCAAGAUAGACACAGAGAUGCAACUUCAAAGAUACAACCAGAGAACCUCUAAUAUACUCAAAUUUAUGAAGGCCACCAUCUUCACAAGUAAGAUGAUCCGUCAUCCAACCCAGUUUACUGAUACCAUGGAAAUUCAAGCACGAGGUUGGUUCACAUUUAUUCUGUCAGUAACUGGAAGGUCCCUGAGAAGAGAAAAAAAAGAGCCCCUAAAGAAAGCACAGGAUGUGAGCAGGAUAUCAGUAUCAAAAGUGAUGAGAUACCCGGUGAUUUCUAUAAAGGAGUGGAAAUCCAAAAUCGAAAUCAUAUUACUAACUGGAAAAGUGCAAGUGAAAUACAUAUUGAUAUAUGAAACACUUCAACAUUGAGUAGGUACUAGAGCCACAAAGCCGCUUAGAACGGUAAAAGGAAAGACAACAGGGUGGAGACAAUCCUCUAGCUCGAACUAAUAAUUUUUACUCGUUUAUAAAAUCAAAAGUACACCAAGAUGAGCAGCUCACAGGAUUGGACUAAAAGAAAAGCUAAACCAAUCAGAUAAGUUUAUUGCAUGUCAUAUAGGACAGUGUUCUUUUGAUAGAUAAGUAAGAAAAUCAACAUGCCACACAGACAGUAGUAUGACAUCCUUUCAUAGAUUUAAACAAAUGAUUAUCGAAAAAGAAUUGGAGUCUUGCACAGGUGUAUGGAAAGUGUCGCAUGAAGGUAUCUCGAGGAUACUGAAAUGAGUGGUGCAUUCUCUAGCCUGAUAUUUGCUGCCCUUACAGCUACAAUCUUCUUCAAUUUCGAGUUGUACUGCUAAAUAUAUACAAUAUGUUCUGCAUUGUUUGUCUCGCCACAUUAAUUUAAGGAUAUAAAUAAUGUUCUGCAUUAUGUCCUGUCUUCGUCUUACCCAUAUAGAUUACACUCUAUUCAAAGAGGAAAACAGAACGGAGUACUUCAAUUUUUCAUAUUGCUUCUACUCUUUCUUCCUCCCAAAACCAAUCAAAGAACCAAAUACCAAGAAAAAAGAUACAAGGUCAAAAAGAAAAACACAAGCAUGUGUACAGCGAGAGCGGAAGAGAAGCAAAAUCAAGAAUUGAAAUAAACAAAAGAAAAGCAGAACAAAGAAUUGAUAGAAAUAAAAAUGUAAGGAGACAACUAAUUAGAUGUAGUAACAAUACAUACACAAUUAAGUGGCUAAAUAAAAUUCAUCAUUAAAAGCAGAACAUAAAUGAUAACCAUGAGAACAAGGACUAGUUUUGACUUAACCUCAACAAAGGAAAUUUUCUCAAAUUGAAGAAAAGUGGCACUGGUCGCGGCCGGCCACCUGUUCUAUAAGCAGCAAUGAACAGAGCCAAAAACAUCAAGGGCAACAAAGCGAUAGUUGUUUAGAGAGCCAAAAAGUUUGACAAAAUGCAGAAACGGUGUAAUAACGAAACCCUAAGUUAGAAAGGAGUGACUUCAGCUUACCUCGAUGCAACAAUAUCUGCGAGAAUCAACGAAACCCUAGAAAUAAAGUCAGCAAGAACUGAAAUUGUCGGAAUUUGUUUAUUUUGUUGCUUCGGUAGCACAGAUUUGGAAUUGACGGGAAAUGUGAGUGAUGUGCAAGAGAAAAGUCAAAUUGACCCAAAAAGAAACUGAAUCAAACCAACACAAAAGAAAUGAUUGUACCUUAAUGUUACUCAAACUUCAACUUUUGGGAUAUGGACCUCCUUUAAAUCUCCUCCUCUUUUUAUAAAUGAGAUGGGUUUUCUUCUUGGCUGAGAGGACAUUGUGUCUCUGAUGGUAAAACAAUGCGAGUUAAACUCUUUUAGAUAAAGAAGACGAAAUAUGAAGGGCCCAGAG
This 3737-nucleotide long non-coding RNA is filed under the name Nicotiana tabacum (common tobacco). Its description in RNAcentral is "long non-coding RNA (NTAB_LNC008165)". Lineage: Eukaryota; Viridiplantae; Streptophyta; Magnoliopsida; Solanales; Solanaceae. The record is from RNAcentral.